This is a long non-coding RNA of Felis catus (domestic cat), 1239 nucleotides long. RefSeq lists it as uncharacterized. NCBI's taxonomy places the organism in Eukaryota, Metazoa, Chordata, Mammalia, Carnivora, Felidae. The transcript is spliced from 3 exons. The record is from RefSeq and is a predicted model, not a curated record.
CGCUUCAGCCCCUGGGGCACCUCCAGGGACUACUUGCCUCGUGCGUCAGCGAGUGGCAGAGCGUCACAUAUACGCCCCCCUCCGUUUUGCCCUACUCCACUCCUCCCCUUCUUUUUCCUCCCUCUCCACCUCCCUCCCUCCCCAUCUCUUCCCACUCCUCCCUCGCUCUCCCUUAGCGUGUUCCACGCGAGCAGAGAGACCCGGCGGACCCACAGGGUUCCAGAGCACUGAAGAGCUAAAAAUAUAACGGGUGUGCUAGCAACAGCCUUCUGAUUGGUCGGGGAGCAGGGAGAGGCGGUAUCUGAUUGGGUUUCCUUUCCAACAGCUAGGAUUAAGAAUGCGGGCCAAGAACCGUGGCGCUCGGCCCAAGGGGACAGUGUGCGUUUGCGCAGUGAGGCAUUGCAAAGGAUGCUGGUAUUUGAAGUUAUUCAUUAGAGGCAACCUUGGAAAUAGAUCCACUGCUCCAGCCGGGCAGCAACAAAGACAACCACAACAAAACUGACUUUGGAGAAGUGAUUGGAUGCAGGACAAAAUGAUUUGCUAUUUAUUCACCACCAAUACGGUCUAAAUGUUGUGCGAGAUGAGGAUGUGCUCUCUGUAACUGGCUGGCUUUUGCUGAGUAUGCUGUGAAUGAAGAGCAUGAAGAGGAAGAUGGAAGGACUGGUAAGAAACCUUAGAGGUUGAAACAGUAUUUGUUUUGUGUAUGUGUGUGUGUGUAUAUAUAAUAUUUAUUUAUUUUUGGAAGAGCGCUAGCAGGGGAGGAGCAGAGAGAGGGGGACAGAGGAUCUGAAGUGGGCUCUGUGCUGACAGGCUGACAGUAGCAGGCUUGAUGUGGGGCUUGAACUCACGAACAGUGAGAUCAUGACCUGAGCCAAAGUUGGAUGCUUACCUGACUGAGCCACCCAGGUGCUCCUACAAGUAUUUGUGAACUGAGCUAGAAGGUAUUUUAAAAAUACCUGCAAAAGUCUGCCAGUAGCUCUUUUAGCAACCGCAUGUCUAAAUACUAAAAAUUUCACCCUUUUUCAGCCCUUCCAGAGGAUUGGCAGAUUUCCCCAUUCCUAGCAUAGGGAACUUUUAAUUUUAGGCAGCUGUAGCUUGAAUCGUAAAUACGUCUUAUGGCCAUUUAAUUUCUAAAAUUUCAUUAAAAAUCUUGGGGCGCCUGGGUGGCUCAGUCGGUUGGGCGUCCGACUUCAGCUCAGGUCAUAAUCUCACCGUCCGUGAGUUCAGGCCCCGUGUCAG